GAAGCAGUGAGGUGAGGUGGGAGAAAUAGGAAGCAGUGCAACCUGCUAGCAGCUGGUGAAGUAGCUCAGGUCAUGAACUGUGGCAGUGGCAGCAGAAAGGAGAAGUUUUGAAAAGUAUUUAGAAGGUAGUACUCACAGGGCAGCACCAUGACUCAUUAGAUGUGGUGAAAGAGAAUGAAGGAAGCCCCUGGGAUUACUCCCAGGUUUCUGACCUGGGAAUCUCAGUAGAUAGCGAUGUGGAACGAAGAUGAAGCGUAAAGCUUGAGGGCUAGGGAGAUGAUAUCUUUGCUUUUGGAAACUUUGCCAUUUCCAAAUUGGAACUGACAUACGUGUAGAACAUUCUGGUGGAUUUAUCCAGUAAGAAGCUGGACAAAUGGCUGGGAAUGCAGAAAAGAAAUCUGGACUACAAUGUGCGGUUUUGUUUGGUGGCAACUGAGUUCUUGGGACAGCAUGAGAUCACUCAGGAAGAAAAUGGAGGGCUGAGGAAGGAGUCCUGCUCUGACUCCCUGUGUUUCUUCCUUCUGAUCAGUCAUGGACAUUACAGCUAAUUUCCCUUUCUCCACAGCCACACACUCUUCCAGGCUCAGAGAAUCCCUCAUCAUAUUUUCUGGCUCCUGCUCUAAUAAUCAAAAAAAUAACAUGAGUGAGAGUAAGCAUAAUAGUGUUAAGAUGUCCUGCAAUUUAGAAAUGACUAUUUAGAUGAUACUGAUAGAUCUGAAAUGCAAAAAAGUUAUACUUUCAUCUUCCUGUUGUUUUGCAAUACUCCUGUGGCUUCCAUGUUUUGCAUGAAUGCAUGAAUUUCAGCUCUUGAACGUGUACAUUGUUCCAUAAACCACCACCCUUCCAUUCCAACUAAGCAUAUCUUAUGAAAAUUAUCUCUAUCUCUUACCCAAAGAAAAGUAUAGGUACUUUCUAGUCUCAUCUCUUACAGAUUUUAUCUUAAGAAAAAUGCCAAAUUAAAAAAAACUCAAAACUCAAAUCUAAAACAAAAAAUUCAGCAAGAGUGCUAGUUUUCUUUAAGGAUUCCUCACUCUCCAAAAGGCUGCCUCUGGCUCAAAUAAAAUUCAAUUUCCAUAAAUUUAAUUUACUGAGUUUUCAUAUGCCAGUAUUACAUCUAAAUGACAGUCCACGCCAGUAUUUCUGUGGCCCCAGAAAGCCACCUCUCCUACUCCUUGCUCCUGUUAGAUGUGUCAUUCGUUUUUCAGAGGAGAGCAGCUUCCACACGGCCCCCGAUUACCUUCCUUCCAAAAUGCCACUGUUUCUCUAUGUGGCUCUCUUGCUGCUUGGGCUGCAUUGUGCACCACCUAACAGCUCUGAAGGCAAAGUAACUACCUGCCAUUCCCCCCAACAAAACGGCACUCUUUAUACGAUGUCAUCCAUCAAUGCUGACUUUGCAUUCAACCUGUACCGGAGGUUCACUGUGGAGACCCCAGACCGGAACAUCUUCUUAUCCCCUGUGAGCAUUUCUGCAGCUUUGGCCAUGCUUUCCCUUGGGGCCCGCUCCAGCACCCAAACUCAAAUCCUGGAAAGCUUGGGGUUCAACCUCACAGACACUCCAGUGACAGAGAUCGAACAGGGCUUCCAGCACCUGAUCUGUUCACUGAAUUUUCCAAAGGAAGAGCUAGAGUUACAGAUGGGAAAUGCUCUCUUCAUUGGGAAGCAGCUGAAACCACUGGCAAAGUUCUUGAAUGAUGUCAAUAGCCUCUAUGAGACUGAAGUCUUUUCUACCGACUUCUCCAAUGUUUCUAUAGCCCAGCAGGAGAUCAACAGUCAUGUGGAGAAGCAAACCAAGGGGAAAGUUGUGGGCAUCAUCCAAGAUCUCAAAUCGGAUACCAUCAUGGUCCUGGUUAACUAUAUCCACUUUAAAGCCCAGUGGGCAAGUCCUUUUGAUCCAUCCAAGACAGAAGAGGGUUCCAGCUUCUUAGUGGACAAGACCACAAUGGUUCAAGUGCCCAUGAUGCACCAGAUGGAACAGUACUAUCACCUGGUGGAUGCAGAGCUGAACUGCACAGUGCUACAAAUGGAUUACAGCAAGAAUGCUCUGGCACUCUUUGUCCUUCCCAAGGAGGGCCAGAUGGAGUGGGUGGAAGGGGCCAUGUCAUCUAAAACACUGAAGAAGUGGAACCGCUUACUGAAUAAGGGAUGGAUUGACUUGUUUGUUCCAAAGUUUUCCAUUUCGGCCACAUAUGACCUUGGAGCCAUCCUUCUGAAGAUGGGCAUCCAGGACGCUUUUGCUGAUGAUGCUGAUUUUCCUGCACUCACAGGGGACAAAGGUCUUAAACUUUCCAAGACAUUCAUGGUAGGCCUGCCGUAUGUCCGGAUCUGUUCCAACAAAACGAAACAAGAAUCUUCAUGGAGCUUACAUUCCAAGUGUGGAGAGACAGACAGGAAACUAAAUAAGUAAAAUAAACUAUGCCUUACAUGGUGAAAAGUACUAUGGAGAACAAUAAAGCAGGAAAGAAGGCAAGUACAGCAAUUCAGAUAUAAUGGUAACUGCAGGCUGGAGAAGUAAGGGUUACUCUUUCUGUCUGAUACACCACACUUCCCAGAAGUGGAGAUAAAAUGCCUCCACAAGGUCUAAGUUGAUUUUUGCUCCCCCUAUCACUUAUUUAUUUCAUUGCAAAUUAUUAACUUUGCCAAGUAUGAUUUUGCAAGGGCUUGUCUCCAUCUGCAGCCCUCUUCCCCCAUCCUGUGAGACAACUAUCUUAUUUACUUUCCAUCUCCCUUCUGCCCAUCCAGUAGUCCUGCUUUUGCUGAUUGUGGGCCCAGGACAAGAAUAACUCCCCUGAUGUUGCUCCUCCUAUUCCCUGCCUCUUAUCCACUUUCUUAUUUUUUCAAGAAACUUGACUAAUAUCACAAGUGUGAGUUUUGAAGUCAGAGGAACCUGAGUUUAAACCUUGGUUCUACCCCUUACUGACUAUGGGAACGUUGGAAAGUCCUUUAAUUCCUGAAUAACAUGAAAUGGCUCUAAUGUUAGGGAAACAAUCUGAAGUUGUUGUAUAGAUUGAGAGAUUGGCACCCGAACACAAAUCAGUGCAACUCUUCUCAGGCACGGUAUCCAAAGGCUCAGAUCAGCCAAGAAUUAAAGUGUGAGUAUACCACUGAACAGUGAAGCCCGACUGCUAAUGUGCUCAUGAAAAGAAGAGUGGAGAGUGGAAGAAGGAAGUCAUAAAGUCUAUACACGAUCUCAAGACCAGCUGCAGAACUGAAGGCUUUGGAGGAAUACCCUGUUGUAUGGGCUCUUCCCACACAUGGAGUUUUAUUAUGCAGAUUGGAAUAAUAAGCAGAGCUGCAAAACUGAGAGACCUUAAAAAAGGUUAGCUCAAUUCACAUCAGAAAGGACCAGGAGCUACUCCUAGGCAAAGCAGGUAAAAUUCCACACCUGGAUAGUCCCCCGUUAGCAGGACCAGCUGCAACCCUACGUGAUCCUCAACCUAAGGGAUUUUACUUCCCUGGCAGCCCAUGAAACUAUCCAAACAAGGUCUGAAGCAUCAACUGCAUUCCAGGCAGCAGGACAGAGGAAAGGAUGAAGAAAAAGCCACAAAGUACAAACUUCAGCACUUUUAUAAAGAAGGUUGUUGGAAGUGAUCACAUGACAAUUCUACUUUCACCUCACUGGCUAGAACUUAAUCGCAUAUCAUAAGUGGGGAGGCUCAGAAAUUUCUUCUUUAUUACGGGAAGCUACAUUUCCAGCUAAAAAUACUGAUACUUGGCUGGCUGAUUGAAUCUAAGAGCCAUACCAAGCUUGAAAAGACUGGGUAUUAGGAUCUGUCUGCCACAAAUCUUCUCAGUUAGGCUCCCUUUCGGUUACAAAUAUGUGUAGCACACUUAGUAUUUAUAGGUGUGUGUGUGUGUGUGUGUGUGUGUGUGUCUGUAUUGUAGUGGUAGUCUUUAUAGGAAAGGUGGCACGAAAUGUGACAGUGGUUAAAAAUAUGGACUUGGUUCUGAUUAAUUUUGCUGUGAAUCUAAAGUUACUCUAAAAAAUAAAGCAUAUUAAAAAAAACAAGAACGAGUCAGCAGACCUCAUAUAAACACUGAUUUUUCCACGUGCAAGCUCUGUCUAUACCUUGUACAAGUUAUUUCACCUCCCUGAACCUCAGUUUACCAUUUGUGAAGCAGAAAUAACACCAACUCUUCAGAUUACUGCAAUUUUAAUCAAUUAUAUAUAUAUAAAUUGUUUAAGCAU
Manis javanica (Malayan pangolin) is the source of this 4186-nucleotide RNA transcript. It is a transcript of the gene named thyroxine-binding globulin, with no coding region annotated. Lineage: Eukaryota; Metazoa; Chordata; Mammalia; Pholidota; Manidae. The record is from RefSeq and is a predicted model, not a curated record.